AUCAUGUUCCAGCACAUUAUGUGAGUAUUGAAUCAAAGAAGUUAGGUUGUUCUCCGGGACUAGCUCUCUCCUAAAGGUCAAAAC
Tupaia belangeri (northern tree shrew) is the source of this 84-nucleotide non-coding RNA. Lineage: Eukaryota; Metazoa; Chordata; Mammalia; Scandentia; Tupaiidae. The record is from Rfam.